This 1440-nucleotide ribosomal RNA is filed under the name uncultured organism. RNAcentral describes it as "16S ribosomal RNA". It matches the Rfam family "Bacterial small subunit ribosomal RNA". The record is from RNAcentral.
CAGGCUUAACACAUGCAAGUCGAGGGGCAUCAGGAAGAAAGCUUGCUUUCUUUGCUGGCGACCGGCGCACGGGUGAGUAACACGUAUCCAACCUGCCCUUUACUCGGGGAUAGCCUUUCGAAAGAAAGAUUAAUACCCGAUGGCAUAAUGAUUCCGCAUGGUUUCAUUAUUAAAGGAUUCCGGUAAAGGAUGGGGAUGCGUUCCAUUAGGUUGUUGGUGAGGUAACGGCUCACCAAGCCUUCGAUGGAUAGGGGUUCUGAGAGGAAGGUCCCCCACAUUGGAACUGAGACACGGUCCAAACUCCUACGGGAGGCAGCAGUGAGGAAUAUUGGUCAAUGGGCGCUAGCCUGAACCAGCCAAGUAGCGUGAAGGAUGAAGGCUCUAUGGGUCGUAAACUUCUUUUAUAUAAGAAUAAAGUGCAGUAUGUAUACUGUUUUGUAUGUAUUAUAUGAAUAAGGAUCGGCUAACUCCGUGCCAGCAGCCGCGGUAAUACGGAGGAUCCGAGCGUUAUCCGGAUUUAUUGGGUUUAAAGGGAGCGUAGGUGGACUGGUAAGUCAGUUGUGAAAGUUUGCGGCUCAACCGUAAAAUUGCAGUUGAUACUGUCAGUCUUGAGUACAGUAGAGGUGGGCGGAAUUCGUGGUGUAGCGGUGAAAUGCUUAGAUAUCACGAAGAACUCCGAUUGCGAAGGCAGCUCACUGGACUGCAACUGACACUGAUGCUCGAAAGUGUGGGUAUCAAACAGGAUUAGAUACCCUGGUAGUCCACACAGUAAACGAUGAAUACUCGCUGUUUGCGAUAUACAGUAAGCGGCCAAGCGAAAGCAUUAAGUAUUCCACCUGGGGAGUACGCCGGCAACGGUGAAACUCAAAGGAAUUGACGGGGGCCCGCACAAGCGGAGGAACAUGUGGUUUAAUUCGAUGAUACGCGAGGAACCUUACCCGGGCUUAAAUUGCAGUGGAAUGAUGUGGAAACAUGUCAGUGAGCAAUCACCGCUGUGAAGGUGCUGCAUGGUUGUCGUCAGCUCGUGCCGUGAGGUGUCGGCUUAAGUGCCAUAACGAGCGCAACCCUUAUCUUUAGUUACUAACAGGUUAUGCUGAGGACUCUAGAGAGACUGCCGUCGUAAGAUGUGAGGAAGGUGGGGAUGACGUCAAAUCAGCACGGCCCUUACGUCCGGGGCUACACACGUGUUACAAUGGGGGGUACAGAAGGCAGCUAGCGGGUGACCGUAUGCUAAUCCCAAAAGCCUCUCUCAGUUCGGAUCGAAGUCUGCAACCCGACUUCGUGAAGCUGGAUUCGCUAGUAAUCGCGCAUCAGCCACGGCGCGGUGAAUACGUUCCCGGGCCUUGUACACACCGCCCGUCAAGCCAUGGGAGCCGGGGGUACCUGAAGUACGUAACCGCAAGGAUCGUCCUAGGGUAAAACUGGUGACUGGGGCUAAGU